UGUGGUGGUGGUGGUGGUGGACUGGUGGUGGUGGCCGAUCAUGUGUACAAGGCCGUGAAGACAAACUUCAGUAUUUCUGCAUGGAUAAUUGUAUCAAGUAGCUACCAAGUUGAAGACUUGCUAAAACAGAUCGCAAGUGAACUCGGUGUCGCAAUUGGCGUGACCAACACAAACAGGAACCUGGUUGAGGUAAUCCAUAACCAACUGCAAGGUUCAAAGUAUCUCAUAGUUCUGGAUGAUGUUUGGCAUGCAGAUCUCUGGUUUAAGAUAAGGAACGCAUUCCCUACAGAAAGCACUGGCCGAUUUGUUAUCACCACUAGAAUUCAGGAGGUUGCAUUGCUGGCAACUGAAAACUGUACAAUUGAAUUGGCACCAUUACAAAGGGAGUAUGCAUGGCAGCUAUUUUGCAAUGAAGCCUUUUGGAAAAAUGAGAACAAAACAUGUCCGGAGGAACUAGAAAAUUUAGCUCAAAUGUUUCUGGGCAAGUGUGGUGGCUUGCCCAUUGCUAUUGCUUGUGUAGGCCGCUUGUUGUCAUGCAGGCAUCCAACUUACUCUCAGUGGGAAAGUUUAUACAAAGAGCUAGAGUUACAGCUCAGCAAUAAUAUGAUCCUCGAUGUUAAUAUUGUUCUGAAACUCAGCUUAGAGGACCUUCCAACUGAUCUGAAGAAUUGUUUUCUGCACUGCACAAUAUUUCCAGAGGGUCGUCUAUUCGGAAGGAAAAGGUUAAUCAGGCAUUGGAUCGCAGCUGGAUACAUUAAAGAAGCAGGGAGCAAAACAUUGGAGGAAGUGGCAGCGGGCUACCUGAACGAACUUGUAAACAGAAGCCUACUGCAGGUGGUCCAGCGGAAUCCGUGUGGCCGAGUUCGCAGGUGCCGAAUGCAUGACAUUAUCCGUGUUCUUGCUCUCGCUAAAUCAGAAGAGGAAUGCUUC
RNAcentral lists this ribosomal RNA (930 nucleotides) under Triticum aestivum (bread wheat). RNAcentral's name for it is "partial small subunit ribosomal RNA". The record is from RNAcentral. Lineage: Eukaryota; Viridiplantae; Streptophyta; Magnoliopsida; Poales; Poaceae.